AGGGUCUUUGUAAACAUACCAACAACAUUGUAUCUCACUCUGAAGGAUGUGGGGAACAAAGAGCUUUUAAGCAAACCCAUAAGAGCAAAUUUUCUUCAGAGAAAUUAAAGAUAUGUGGAUGAUGAAUUGGAGAGAUUUUAUUAAAAUGAUUCAGAACAACAUGAUGAAAACUUAAACUAGAAAGGUGUUAUUGGUUGAGAUUGUCUGGAGAUUAGAAAAUUGGAUCACACAAUGAGCAGAUUCUAUAGAUUUGGUGAUUGAAGAAAAGUAGAAUUUAAAAAAAAUUUAGUAGUUCAGGCAACCAGUGAAACUGCCUUUCCUUAUUCAGAUAUAAUGAGGAAAACAGGUAUAUCACUUAGCAUGAUUAUGUUUCUUUCUGAUGACAAUAAUAAAAAAUACAACUCGAACUUGUGCUACAAAAUAAGAAAACACAAAGU
This 437-nucleotide long non-coding RNA is filed under the name Bos taurus (domestic cattle). RNAcentral describes it as "long non-coding RNA NONBTAT007397". Lineage: Eukaryota; Metazoa; Chordata; Mammalia; Artiodactyla; Bovidae. The record is from RNAcentral.